RNAcentral lists this ribosomal RNA (445 nucleotides) under uncultured bacterium. RNAcentral's name for it is "SSU rRNA". It matches the Rfam family "Bacterial small subunit ribosomal RNA", at positions 26 to 518 of the family's 1533-position model. The record is from RNAcentral.
AGAACGAACGCUGGCGGCAGGCUUAACACAUGCAAGUCGAACGCACCGCAAGGUGAGUGGCGGACGGGUGAGUAACGCGUGGGAACGUGCCCUGAGGUUGGGAAUAACUGCGGGAAACUGCAGCUAAUACCCGAUAAGCCCCUAGCAAUAGGGGGAAAGAUUUAUCGCCUUAGGAGCGGCCCGCGUCGGAUUAGCUAGUUGGUGGGGUAACGGCCUACCAAGGCUUCGAUCCGUAGCUGGUCUGAGAGGACGAUCAGCCACACUGGGACUGAGACACGGCCCAGACUCCUACGGGAGGCAGCAGUGGGAAUCUGCGCAAUGGGCGAAAGCCUGACGCAGCCAUGCCGCGUGAACGAUGAAGGCCUUAGGGUUGUAAAGUUCUUUACCGUGACGAUGAUGACGGUAACGGAGAAUAAGCUCCGGCUAACUUCGUGCCAGCAGCCGC